CUGGGCAACAAGAAUGAAACUGUCUUAAAAUACAAACAAAAAAAUAGUUUUAUUGGCUCUAGCCAAGCUCAUUCAUUUACAUUAUCAUCUAUAGAUGCAUUUUUACUACAACAGCAGAGUUGAACAGUUGAAACAAGGACUGCAUGGCCUGUGUAAAGCCUAAAAUAUUUGCUAUCUGACCCUUUACAGAAAGUUUGCCAACCCCUGCUCCAGACAAGCACUAUCCAACAGAACUUUUUGCAGCGAUGGAAAUGUUCUAUAUCUGUGCUGUCCAAUGCAGAAGUCGCUAGCCACAUGUAGCUAUUUGAGCACUUGAAAUAUGGUCAACAGUGACUGAAUAACUGAAUCCUUAAUUUCAUAUAAUUGAGAUUUUCAUAACCACAAGUGGCUAGUGGCUACCAUAAUAGACAGUACAGCUCUAGACUCUUAAAUCUUCUGUACUGAUGUUUUUUUUUCUCCUUAUGCCACUAUCUCACUCCCUUCCUGUGACAUUCCUCUAUGGAUUCUCAGGAACUCCCCACCACCCCACUGUUCCACAGUCCCACUCACUAUAUACACAUCCAUUUUUCUGACCUCAAGCUAGGGUACACUUACUAGGUUGUCUCUCUGGACUCUCCAUUGUCACAAAUGAAGUCUGAAAAUGGAUCAGGUUAUCAGUUGUCACCCUAUGAAUUAAGCCACAUUAUGUACAUACACAUAAAUGGACAUUUACACAAGUUCAUUUGUGUCAGAGGAUGGCACUGAGGCUGUAUUCUUUCUUCUCUGCAUGAGAGAAGUAGAAAAGCCCUCCACAUGCUGGAUGCCUUGUUGCUGCUGGUGCCUGUGGUAUGGAUCACCUCCCUCCGAACACAUUCACAGAAGCUCCAGUUGCAUAUUUUGGAUGCUGAGGUGGGUUCUUGUAAACUUGUGAAGUUCUUGUAAACUGUCUUAUCUCAGCACACAAAAUGGUUGCAUAACCUGAUCUGUCACAGCUCCUGAUGUUUUUCUUUCGGCAUGCACACAGUCUAUCCAGGAGAAAAAAAUCAAUCCAGACACCUCUAUGCUCAGGCUGUUGUUCAAAUAAACUUUUUUCCUCCCUCCCUAGGCUCUUCACCUCCUGUCUUCUAGUUUUAUUUUGGUAUUAAGAGAGCCAGACAACUCCAGCAUAGAAUUCAAGGUGCUACUGCUUAGUAAACUAUUAGCUGCAUAGUGAACCCAGUAUGGCUUCAUUAAUAGUAGGGUCUGCAGGAAGCCAGAAAGAGACUCCCCCGACAUGCCCCCUGCCAAAGAAGUGGACAUUAGCAGUCCUUUCCCCUUUCUCCAGAGGUUGAACAGAAAAAGAGAAUACUACAUGUUUGCAUCACCGCAACAAGAAUCGGGUGGGUUUUCCCUGGGAAUCC
This 1379-nucleotide long non-coding RNA is filed under the name Homo sapiens (human). Its description in RNAcentral is "HSALNT0221446". Lineage: Eukaryota; Metazoa; Chordata; Mammalia; Primates; Hominidae. The record is from RNAcentral.